This 94-nucleotide signal recognition particle RNA is filed under the name Oceanidesulfovibrio indonesiensis. Its description in RNAcentral is "Desulfovibrio indonesiensis Bacterial small signal recognition particle RNA". It matches the Rfam family "Bacterial small signal recognition particle RNA". Rfam says of the family: The signal recognition particle (SRP) is a universally conserved ribonucleoprotein involved in the co-translational targeting of proteins to membranes. RNAcentral also lists the same sequence under 1 other name. The record is from Rfam by way of RNAcentral. Lineage: Bacteria; Pseudomonadati; Thermodesulfobacteriota; Desulfovibrionia; Desulfovibrionales; Desulfovibrionaceae.
AGGAGGAGCCGGGCGGCGAGGCAACUGUGAACCCCGUCAGGCCCGAAAGGGAGCAGCGGUAACAGCGCGUCUCGGGUGUCCGGCUCCUAGAUGA